RNAcentral lists this ribosomal RNA (487 nucleotides) under uncultured bacterium. RNAcentral's name for it is "bacterial SSU rRNA". It matches the Rfam family "Bacterial small subunit ribosomal RNA", at positions 28 to 507 of the family's 1533-position model. The record is from RNAcentral.
GAUGAACGCUAGCGACAGGCCUAACACAUGCAAGUCGAGGGGCAGCACAUGAGUAGCAAUACGAUGGUGGCGACCGGCGCACGGGUGAGUAACACGUAUGCAACCUGCCUGUAAGAGGGGGAUAACCCGGAGAAAUUCGGACUAAUACCGCAUAAUACCACGAGACUGCAUGGUUUUGUGGUUAAACAUUUAUGGCUUACAGAUGGGCAUGCGUAUGAUUAGAUAGUUGGUAGGGUAACGGCCUACCAAGUCUACGAUCAUUAGGGGUUCUGAGAGGAAGGUCCCCCACACUGGUACUGAGACACGGACCAGACUCCUACGGGAGGCAGCAGUGAGGAAUAUUGGUCAAUGGGCGAGAGCCUGAACCAGCCAAGUCGCGUGAAGGAAGAAGGUUCUAUGGAUUGUAAACUUCUUUUGCAGGGGAAUAAAGGACGGUACGUGUACUGUUUUGUAUGUACCUUGCGAAUAAGGAUCGGCUAACUCCGUG